Molecule: ribosomal RNA, 919 nt
Filed under: Aphidius rhopalosiphi
Lineage: Eukaryota; Metazoa; Arthropoda; Insecta; Hymenoptera; Braconidae
Description: SSU rRNA
Rfam family: Eukaryotic small subunit ribosomal RNA
Source: RNAcentral
GCCAUGCAUGUCUCAGUACAUGCCUAAUUAAGGUGAAACCGCGAAUGGCUCAUUAAAUCAGUUAUGGUUCCUUAGAUCGUACCCACAUUUACUUGGAUAACUGUGGUAAUUCUAGAGCUAAUACAUGCAAACUAGAAUUCCGACCAGAGAUGGAAGGAAUGCUUUUAUUAGAUCAAAACCAAUCGGUGGUAUAUAAUUUAUUAUAUAUCCAUCGUUAAUUUUGAUGACUCUGAAUAACUUUGUGCUGAUCGCAUGGUCUUGUACCGGCGACGAAUCUUUCAAAUGUCUGCCUUAUCAACUGUCGAUGGUAGGUUCUGCGCCUACCAUGGUUGUAACGGGUAACGGGGAAUCAGGGUUCGAUUCCGGAGAGGGAGCCUGAGAAACGGCUACCACAUCCAAGGAAGGCAGCAGGCGCGCAAAUUACCCACUCCCGGCACGGGGAGGUAGUGACGAAAAAUAACGAUACGGGACUCAUCCGAGGCCCCGUAAUCGGAAUGAGUACACUUUAAAUCCUUUAACGAGGAUCCAUUGGAGGGCAAGUCUGGUGCCAGCAGCCGCGGUAAUUCCAGCUCCAAUAGCGUAUAUUAAAGUUGUUGCGGUUAAAAAGCUCGUAGUUGAAUUUGUGUGCCACGCUGUCGGUUCAUCGCUCGCGAUGUUUAACUGGCAUGAUUGUGGGACGUCCUACCGGUGGAUUUAGCUUUAUAUAUUUUCGAAUAUAUUUAGCGAUCCAGUUUAUAUCCCGUCGCGGUGCUCUUUAUUGAGUGUCGAGGUGGGCCGGUACGUUUACUUUGAACAAAUUAGAGUGCUUAAAGCAGGCUUUUUUUGCCUGAAUACUGUGUGCAUGGAAUAAUAGAAUAGGACCUCGGUUCUAUUUUGUUGGUUUUCGGAACCCCGAGGUAAUGAUUAAUAGGGACAGAUG